RNAcentral lists this long non-coding RNA (707 nucleotides) under Homo sapiens (human). Its description in RNAcentral is "HSALNT0113839". Lineage: Eukaryota; Metazoa; Chordata; Mammalia; Primates; Hominidae. The record is from RNAcentral.
GCUUGAAUAAAACUUACACCAGUCAUGACAUGGGAGCAACCUGAAUGUCCAUUGACUGAUGAAUGGAUGAAAAAAAUAUGGGAUAUACAUCCAAAAAAGAUUAUUCAGGCUUAAAAAGGAAGGAGAUUCUGCCAUUUUUAACAAAAUGAAUUAACCAGGAGGACAUUGUGAAGAGAUGAAGAUCCUCAGGGCUGGAGGAGAGAGAGAAGCAGAAUGGUAAAGCAAGAUUGAGGCUAUCGUGAGCAUCCUUCAUAUAAUGCCUUGAACUCAACUCCGGACAAGUCAAGUACCAUGGUGAAGGCAAACUGAGCCUCCAUUUCUGAAAUCAGAAGAACCCAAGCUGGUAAGCAUAGCAGAGUCCCUCUACAUUGCCAUGGUGCUAUAGCAGGAAGGCAGAGAAGCUAUGUCUAGAUAGACAGAGCCUGAGACAGCCCACUGAGGGCAUUGAAAAGAUCCUUAUGUCCCUUUGAGAGGAGGCUGAAAUAGCUGAUGAGAGCUGGUUGACCCGGAAAAGUCUCGUGGACAAGGCCCAGGGUGAUCUCUUCUCACUAUGCAUCUUAUGUUAUUACUAUGCACACGCUACCUUGGGACUCCUGUUGGCUCAGGAUACACAAGUAAUAAUCGGCUGUGUAGUGUAAUGAUUAAAAGAAUCAGUGUGGAGUCAAUAUGUCCAGUCUAAUUCCUAGCCUUACCUUGUACUAGCUGGG